Non-coding RNA from Paramisgurnus dabryanus, 411 nucleotides. The record is from RefSeq and is a predicted model, not a curated record. Lineage: Eukaryota; Metazoa; Chordata; Actinopteri; Cypriniformes; Cobitidae.
AACACUGUAUAAUAGUCAGUAAAAGAGAACAUUGAUUAACACUAAUCAUCAGCUCUUUGUGUACAGCACAGCAGGAUGAAGGUGAAUGUCAUCUUCCAGGCAAGAUAAAAGUGUUUAAGGAAAGACCAACUGCAGCAGUGCCUAACUCGGAAAAAGAGCCAGCGUCUGUGAAACUUGGUUCUUUGGCCUUGCAGCAUCUGCCUCUCAUCCUCCAGAAGUUGAGGAGUGUGAAGAAUUGGGGAGGAUGAUGCUACCCACAAAUUCAUCUAAAAGCCCAACUGAAUUCAGAAGUUGUUGGAAUCCCAGUGGUCAAAGGUCUUAUUCCUUCUGCACACUAGGAAUGAUUCUGACAUGAAUCAGGAUUAUCUUUUCUACAUUAAUUUGUUGCUGUUUGUUGGUUAGGCCAUGUUC